RNAcentral lists this non-coding RNA (30 nucleotides) under Rattus norvegicus (Norway rat). Lineage: Eukaryota; Metazoa; Chordata; Mammalia; Rodentia; Muridae. The record is from RNAcentral.
UGCAAGACCAUGGCAGGUAUGUUGGUCAGC